Paramisgurnus dabryanus is the source of this 298-nucleotide non-coding RNA. Lineage: Eukaryota; Metazoa; Chordata; Actinopteri; Cypriniformes; Cobitidae. The record is from RefSeq and is a predicted model, not a curated record.
UUUUGAUGAAUGCGUUGGUCGGUCUGCAGACCUCGAGCAAGGCAAAUUAACGUCCCCAGCCAGAUUUUCACCCCAGGCAGUUUUACUCCCCUGUUGUUCCUGGUUCGUCCAGUAGGGGGAGAAGAAUAUACAUAGGGUGCUCAGCAUCAACCAAAUACAAAGAGGAAAAAAGGAUUCAUUGGUACACAUCAUAUGCAUUUGGAUUCUAUCACUGGAAAAAUUCAGCAUUCAUCGGGGGCCUUGGAUGGCUGGAGUAGAAAUAUGAGGUUAGAAAUGUAAUUUUAUAAUUCAAUACUUC